AUUAAAGCGAUGAAGGAGCCAAGCAUCAGCCGGCAAACUCUCAGAGAGCCGAUGUUUGCUGCGAAUCGGCAGUUUGCCCGAUGUGGAGCACUCCUGAGCGGUCUGCUGAAAGAAUGAGUAGGCAGAUCCGGAUGAUCCGUUACAUCAUGAGUCCUUUUCGGACUUGAUGAGGCAAUUGGUGCGAACCAAUUGCGAACGAGGGUGGCACCACGGACCUUACGUCCCUCAC
Molecule: non-coding RNA, 229 nt
Filed under: Thermoactinomyces sp.
Lineage: Bacteria; Bacillati; Bacillota; Bacilli; Caryophanales; Thermoactinomycetaceae
Description: T-box sequence
Rfam family: T-box leader
About the family: Uncharged tRNA acts as the effector for transcription antitermination of genes in the T-box leader family. T-boxes are found upstream of many aminoacyl-tRNA synthetase genes and some amino acid biosynthetic genes usually in Gram-positive bacteria.
Source: RNAcentral